Long non-coding RNA from Paramisgurnus dabryanus, 1545 nucleotides. RefSeq lists it as uncharacterized. NCBI's taxonomy places the organism in Eukaryota, Metazoa, Chordata, Actinopteri, Cypriniformes, Cobitidae. The record is from RefSeq and is a predicted model, not a curated record.
UCAGGAAAUUGUCUUACACCGGGAAAGGACAAGCAGUAAGUUUUCAUAGUUUGCCGCAGUGUAAACAAUGGCUGCGGGCUAUCAACCACCCAAAGUUUGGAGAAGACACCAAUGCGGUAAAAUUGAAAAACCCUCAGGGUUUGCAGUCUCCAUUUCAAGCUGCAAGACAUCGAACCCAAUGUACUCGGAAUGAAGCAAAACACGCUAAAGGACACUGCAGUUCCGUCCAUAUUUACCUUCCCAGACACGACGAACAGCCGGGGCCAUCUGGUAUCAAACGCAUUCGUCUAGAGGUUUCCGGAAGAUGAUGCAGAAGAAAGGGAAAAAAAGAACAAUGAAAUCCUCCUAGAAUGGACCAGGUCUGUCCUAAAUCAUAUGUGGUUUUCCUGUGAAACCAGUAAGGGUGAAGUCGAGGUAAGACAUUUGAUUCUAAUUUGUUUCUUUUUAAGGAAAACUAUUUUUCUAGAUUUAUUUUAUAACAAUCAUAUUUUCAUGCAUGUACUGAAAUGCCGUUGGAAGUCCAUUCUGCACCAUGUGUGUAAUUAGUAUCACGGCCGGCUCGUUCUCGACCGUAACAUAAAAUAGGAUCACAUUUUUGCAGAUGAUUUGGCAUGCAAGACAUAUUUAUUAAAGUAAAAAUGAAACCAUUACAAAAGAAUAUAGUAAUGUCUAGGGGUUUAAACAAUACAAAAUAAUAAUCCAAAAAGAUAAGGAAUGUUGAUGAAGGUAAAACCGAAGAAAAUGCAGGAGUACAGAUGACUUCUCUGGAGACUGCCAUUCGACAGAAAAAGUAACAAGAGAUGAAUCAGUCCAUCAUUUAUUCGCUCCACAAUCAAUCAAUGUAGUCAGUCAACAGGGGUGUGCAAUCAACCACACGCUUCCAAGAAAUUCUGCCACCAGCAGGAAAGGAAAGGGAGCACAGGGUCGUAACAUUAGCAUGAGUGGACAGAUGACGGAGGACAGCAUGUGACCGUGCUCCUCUAACAGCACAGGAGCAAAAGAUGCGUAUGUAGAUGAAAAAGGAUUCUGUGGCAUUUCAAGACCUGUCAUCGCUGGUCCUUGAUAAAAGGCUUCUGAGAGACAUGGAAAAGAUGGCCCUGUUCAAACAUACUGGUGAGAAGUUGUGCUUGAACACUUGAUUGUUUUUCCAAAUCCUAAUGAUCAUUGUUAUGACCCCAGUGCGGGUCAAAGCGUUGGUAUGUUGUUUUGUCUUUUCUUGUUUUGCAGGACGGUGUUCGAGUAUGUGACGUCAUGAUUGUGAGAACUUACACCUGUUUGGAUGCUGGCGCAUAGAAGCAAUUCUCUUUUGAGUGACGUCGCUUGCUCCCCUCGCUUCCUGUGUCGUCCUAGUUCCUGUUUAGUUGUUUGCUUUAACGUUAAUCCCUGUUUUAUUGUUUACUUUAAUAAAUGUAAUUCAUUCUUUCAUCCUUACCUCACGCGUUGUCUCCUUCUUUGUCACAGUUUGCGAGCCGACAGUGACCUUAUGUUUUAAUUUGUUAUAUCCCUUCUUUCUUUCUCUUUAUAAAGUCUUUUACAGCGCAAUUU